This 164-nucleotide ribosomal RNA is filed under the name Milium schmidtianum. RNAcentral's name for it is "5.8S ribosomal RNA". It matches the Rfam family "5.8S ribosomal RNA". Rfam says of the family: 5.8S ribosomal RNA (5.8S rRNA) is a component of the large subunit of the eukaryotic ribosome. It is transcribed by RNA polymerase I as part of the 45S precursor that also contains 18S and 28S rRNA. The record is from RNAcentral. Lineage: Eukaryota; Viridiplantae; Streptophyta; Magnoliopsida; Poales; Poaceae.
CACACGACUCUCGGCAACGGAUAUCUCGGCUCUCGCAUCGAUGAAGAACGUAGCGAAAUGCGAUACCUGGUGUGAAUUGCAGAAUCCCGCGAACCAUCGAGUCUUUGAACGCAAGUUGCGCCCGAGGCCACUUGGUUGAGGGCACGCCUGCCUGGGCGUCACGC